Molecule: ribosomal RNA, 700 nt
Filed under: uncultured bacterium
Lineage: Bacteria
Description: bacterial SSU rRNA
Rfam family: Bacterial small subunit ribosomal RNA
Source: RNAcentral
AGCGGCGAAAGGGAUAGUAACACGUAGAUCACGUGCCCUCGGGUCAGGGAUAGCGUCGGGAAACUGACGGUAAUACCAGAUAAUGUCUCCGGACCAAAGAUUUAUUGCCCGAGGGGCGGUCUGCGUCCUAUUAGCUAGUUGGUGGGGUAAUAGCCUACCAAGGCGAAGAUGGGUAGCGGGUGUGAGAGCACGACCCGCAUCACUGGGACUGAGAUACUGCCCAGACACCUACGGGUGGCUGCAGUCGAGAAUCUUCCGCAAUGGACGAAAGUCUGACGGAGCGACGCCGCGUGCGGGAUGAAGGCCCUCGGGUUGUAAACCGCUGUCGUAGGGGAGCAAAUUUUGAGCGAUCCUAGGAGGAAGCACCGGCUAAACUCGUGCCAGCAGCCGCGGUAAUACGAGUGGUGCAAACGUUAUUCGGAAUCACUGGGCUUAAAGGGUGCGUAGGCGGCCAUGAAGGUCUGAUGUGAAAUACCACGGCUCAACCGUGGAAUGGCAUUGGAAACCACAUGGCUGGAGUGAGACAGAGGUGAGCGGAACAGAUGGUGGAGCGGUGAAAUGCGUUGAUAUCAUCUGGAACACCGGUGGCGAAAGCGGCUCACUGGGUCUUUACUGACGCUGAGGCACGAAAGCCAGGGGAGCAAACGGGAUUAGAUACCCCGGUAGUCCUGGCUGUAAACGAUGAGUACUAGUCCGAGGG